CCUACGGGAGGCAGCAGUAAGGAAUAUUGGUCAAUGGGCGCAAGCCUGAACCAGCCAUGCCGCGUGCAGGAAGACGGCCCUAUGGGUUGUAAACUGCUUUUGAACAAGAGAAAACCUCGGUACGUGUACCGAGCUGAUAGUAUUGUUAGAAUAAGCAUCGGCUAACUUCGUGCCAGCAGCCGCGGUAAGACGAAGGAUGCAAGCGUUAUCCGGAUUCAUUGGGUUUAAAGGGUGCGUAGGCGGCCUGAUAAGUCAGUGGUGAAAUCUCUCAGCUUAACUGAGAAACUGCCAUUGAUACUGUCGGGCUUGAGUACAGAUGAUGUGGGCGGAAUAUGACAUGUAGUGGUGAAAUACUUAGAUAUGUCAUAGAACACCGAUUGCGAAGGCAGCUCACAAAACUGUAACUGACGCUGAGGCACGAAAGUGCGGGGAUCAAACAGGAUUAGAUACCCUGGUAGUCCGCACCGUAAACGAUGAUUACUCGUUGUUGGCAAUAUGACCGUCAGCGACCAAGCGAAAGCGAUAAGUAAUCCCNCCGNGGAGACGCCGCGACGACGAACGACAAGAGAGUUAGAGCGNGAGAGNGCGACGGACGACGACGAGGGAGGAGG
This 611-nucleotide ribosomal RNA is filed under the name uncultured bacterium. RNAcentral's name for it is "bacterial SSU rRNA". The stretch from base 1 to 537 matches the Rfam family "Bacterial small subunit ribosomal RNA", at positions 338 to 873 of the family's 1533-position model. The record is from RNAcentral.